AGUAGGCGUGGCGAUGUUGUCGCGUCCUUGGCUCGACUGAUCCUAAUGUAAAAAAAAAUUGAAAUUACAAAGAAAAUAUGAAUAUUGAUUUUUAUAUAAAUGCUAAUUACCUCAAUCGUCUCUCGACGUAAGUCUUCCCUUAGUUCCUUUAGUAUAUUCGGCAACUGUUUCCUAAUGGCCUCUUGAACUGCCCGAUCAAAGUCUACUUUACUUUUUUGUUGUUGAAUUUCUAUAUAAUUCGUCGUUGUGUUCUGUGAAGUCGCCAUAUUAUCAGGAAUUGGUAAUGGCAUUGGAUCACUUGCUCUGGUUCCAAGAACACGACCUUUGUUUUUUCCGUUAGUAGCUUUGAC
RNAcentral lists this long non-coding RNA (350 nucleotides) under Zostera marina. RNAcentral describes it as "long non-coding RNA (ZMAR_LNC004679)". The record is from RNAcentral. Lineage: Eukaryota; Viridiplantae; Streptophyta; Magnoliopsida; Alismatales; Zosteraceae.